This 406-nucleotide ribosomal RNA is filed under the name uncultured eukaryote. RNAcentral's name for it is "SSU rRNA". It matches the Rfam family "Eukaryotic small subunit ribosomal RNA", at positions 587 to 995 of the family's 1831-position model. The record is from RNAcentral.
AGCUCCAAUAGCGUAUAUUAAAGUUGUUGCAGUUAAAAGCUCGUAGUUGGAUUUCUGGUGGGCGCAUCCGGUCCGCUCCGCAAGGAGUGUGCACUGGCGAUGUCGCCGGCCACUUUUACGGCGAACGAUUCUGGCAUUAAGUUGUCGGGGUCGGGAGCCGUAUCAUUUACUGUGAAAAAUUAGAGUGUUUAAAGCAGGCAUUUGCUGUGAAUACAUUAGCAUGGAAUAAUAAGAUAGGACUUUGGUACUAUUUUGUUGGUUUGCAUACCAAGGUAAUGAUUAACAGGGACAGUUGGGGGUAUUCGUAUUUUGAUGUCAGAGGUGAAAUUCUUGGAUUUUCGAAAGACGAACUUCUGCGAAAGCAUUUACCAAGGAUGUUUUCAUUAAUCAAGAACGAGUUAACACG